RNAcentral lists this ribosomal RNA (253 nucleotides) under uncultured bacterium. RNAcentral describes it as "partial 16S ribosomal RNA". It matches the Rfam family "Bacterial small subunit ribosomal RNA", at positions 524 to 776 of the family's 1533-position model. The record is from RNAcentral.
UACAGAGGUGGCAAGCAUUGUUCGGAUUUAUUGGGCGUAAAGGGUCUGUAGGCGGUCUGGAAAGUCGGAUGUGAAAUCCCACAGCUCAACUGUGGAACUGCAUUCGAAACUUCCGGACUAGAGUGUGAGAGGGGUGAAGGGAAUUCCCGGUGUAAGGGUGAAAUCUGCAGAGAUCGGGAGGAACACCAGUCGCGAAGGCGCUUCACUGGCUCACUACUGACGCUGAGGGACGAAAGCUAGGGUAGCAAACGGG